This 318-nucleotide long non-coding RNA is filed under the name Lathyrus oleraceus (garden pea). RNAcentral's name for it is "Pisum sativum (pea) long non-coding RNA (PSAT_LNC008994)". Lineage: Eukaryota; Viridiplantae; Streptophyta; Magnoliopsida; Fabales; Fabaceae. The record is from RNAcentral.
AGACUCUGGAAUGUACCUGAGAAAUGAUAUGCAUGCAGAGAUUAGUUUUUUCUUUUUUCUUUUUUUUUUUCAUUUUUUUUUAAUUCUUUUUUAUUGCGUUUCUUUUGAAAAUAAACAUGCUAUGAUGUAGAUGAUGCAGACAAGACUGGCAGGCUGUGCAAUCUCAGAACACAGGAUCGAAGCUUCGGCUCGAACUCGGCACCACCAUUCAUCUGAAACCCAAAGUCAUCUGAGGAACUGUCAUCUGAACCCUCUCUGAGGAACCAAGUCACCAUCUGAGCGAGUACCCACAAAUUCAGCCCAGGGAUCCGAAAUAAA